AUUUGGCUUCCCUGAUGUUUAGCGGCGGACGGGUGAGUAACACGUGGGUAACCUGCCUGUAAGACUGGGAUAACUCCGGGAAACCGGGGCUAAUACCGGAUGGUUGUCUGAACCGCAUGGUUCAGACAUAAAAGGUGGCUUCGGCUACCACUUACAGAUGGACCCGCGGCGCAUUAGCUAGUUGGUGAGGUAACGGCUCACCAAGGCGACGAUGCGUAGCCGACCUGAGAGGGUGAUCGGCCACACUGGGACUGAGACACGGCCCAGACUCCUACGGGAGGCAGCAGUAGGGAAUCUUCCGCAAUGGACGAAAGUCUGACGGAGCAACGCCGCGUGAGUGAUGAAGGUUUUCGGAUCGUAAAGCUCUGUUGUUAGGGAAGAACAAGUGCCGUUCAAAUAGGGCGGCACCUUGACGGUACCUAACCAGAAAGCCACGGCUAACUACGUGCCAGCAGCCGCGGUAAUACGUAGGUGGCAAGCGUUGUCCGGAAUUAUUGGGCGUAAAGGGCUCGCAGGCGGUUUCUUAAGUCUGAUGUGAAAGCCCCCGGCUCAACCGGGGAGGGUCAUUGGAAACUGGGGAACUUGAGUGCAGAAGAGGAGAGUGGAAUUCCACGUGUAGCGGUGAAAUGCGUAGAGAUGUGGAGGAACACCAGUGGCGAAGGCGACUCUCUGGUCUGUAACUGACGCUGAGGAGCGAAAGCGUGGGGAGCGAACAGGAUUAGAUACCCUGGUAGUCCACGCCGUAAACGAUGAGUGCUAAGUGUUAGGGGGUUUCCGCCCCUUAGUGCUGCAGCUAACGC
RNAcentral lists this ribosomal RNA (800 nucleotides) under Bacillus amyloliquefaciens. RNAcentral's name for it is "bacterial SSU rRNA". It matches the Rfam family "Bacterial small subunit ribosomal RNA", at positions 73 to 858 of the family's 1533-position model. The record is from RNAcentral. Lineage: Bacteria; Bacillati; Bacillota; Bacilli; Caryophanales; Bacillaceae.